CACCAAUGUCCAUCAGCAGUUGAAGCAAGUUAUUGAUGCGGCAAUGAAAUUGUGCAAUGCUCAAAGUGGAUCUAACAAAAGGGUUAGCCUCAAUUGGAUCAAUGUUUUGUGUCCCCGUCAGUCGGGAGGUACCGAGUGUGGAUAU
Hibiscus syriacus is the source of this 145-nucleotide long non-coding RNA. RefSeq lists it as uncharacterized. NCBI's taxonomy places the organism in Eukaryota, Viridiplantae, Streptophyta, Magnoliopsida, Malvales, Malvaceae. The record is from RefSeq and is a predicted model, not a curated record. The transcript has 3 exons.